UUGACGGGGCCCGCACAAGCGGUGGAGCAUGUGGUUUAAUUCGAUGCAACGCGAAGAACCUUACCUGGUCUUGACAUCCCGGAGACCCUUAGGAAACUAGGGGGUGCUUCCAUCUGGAAGAAUCUGGAGACAGGUGCUGCAUGGCUGUCGUCAGCUCGUGUCGUGAGAUGUUGGGUUAAGUCCCGCAACGAGCGCAACCCUUGCCUUUAGUUGCCAGCAGUUCGGCUGGGCACUCUAAAGGGACUGCCGGUGUUAAACCGGAGGAAGGUGGGGAUGGCGUCAAGUCCUCAUGGCCUUUAUGACCAGGGCUACACACGUACUACAAUGGCCGAUACAAAGGGCAGCGACACUGCGAGGUGAAGCCAAUCCCGUAAAAUCGGUCUCAGUCCGGAUUGGAGUCUGCAACUCGACUCCAUGAAGUUGGAAUCGCUAGUAAUCGUGGAUCAGCAUGCCACGGUGAAUACGUUCCCGGGCCUU
RNAcentral lists this ribosomal RNA (477 nucleotides) under uncultured Desulfobulbus sp. RNAcentral's name for it is "bacterial SSU rRNA". It matches the Rfam family "Bacterial small subunit ribosomal RNA", at positions 910 to 1382 of the family's 1533-position model. The record is from RNAcentral. Lineage: Bacteria; Pseudomonadati; Thermodesulfobacteriota; Desulfobulbia; Desulfobulbales; Desulfobulbaceae.